RNAcentral lists this ribosomal RNA (119 nucleotides) under Pteropus alecto (black flying fox). Lineage: Eukaryota; Metazoa; Chordata; Mammalia; Chiroptera; Pteropodidae. The record is from RNAcentral.
GUCUACGGCCACGCCACCCUGAACGUGCCCGAUCUCGUCUGAUCUCGGAAGCUAAGCAGGGCCGGGCCUGGUUAGUACCUGGAUGGGAGACCACCUAGGAAGACCCCGUGAUGUAGGUG